UGGGGAAUUUUGGACAAUGGGGGAAACCCUGAUCAAGCCAUCCCGCGUGUGCGAUGAAGGCCUUCGGGUUGUAAAGCACUUUUGGCAGGAAAGAAACGUCAUGGGUUAAUACCCCGUGAAACUGACGGUACCUGCAGAAUAAGCACCGGCUAACUACGUGCCAGCAGCCGCGGUAAUACGUAGGGUGCAAGCGUUAAUCGGAAUUACUGGGCGUAAAGCGUGCGCAGGCGGUUCGGAAAGAAAGAUGUGAAAUCCCAGAGCUCAACUUUGGAACUGCAUUUUUAACUACCGGGCUGGAGUGUGUCAGAGGGAGGUGGAAUUCCGGUUGUAGCAGUGAAAUGCGUAGAUAUGCGGAGGAACACCGAUGGCGAAGGCAGCCUCCUGGGAUAACACUGACGCUCAUGCACGAAAGCGUGGGGAGCAAACAGG
RNAcentral lists this ribosomal RNA (429 nucleotides) under Acidobacteriota bacterium. Its description in RNAcentral is "Acidobacteria bacterium partial 16S ribosomal RNA". It matches the Rfam family "Bacterial small subunit ribosomal RNA", at positions 355 to 776 of the family's 1533-position model. The record is from RNAcentral. Lineage: Bacteria; Pseudomonadati; Acidobacteriota.